This 292-nucleotide ribosomal RNA is filed under the name uncultured Planctomycetota bacterium. RNAcentral's name for it is "uncultured planctomycete partial 16S ribosomal RNA". The record is from RNAcentral. Lineage: Bacteria; Pseudomonadati; Planctomycetota.
GGACUACCGGGGUAUCUAAUCCCGUUCGCUCCCCUGGCUUUCGCGCCUCAGCGUCAGAAGAGAUCCAGCGCGCCGCUUUCGCCACCGGUGUUCCUUCCGAUAUCUACGCAUUUCACCGCUCCACCGGAAGUUCCGCACGCCCCUAUCUCCCUCGAGACAACCAGUAUCAAAGGCACUUCCACGGUUGAGCCGUGGGAUUUCACCCCUGACUUGAUCGCCCGCCUACGCGCCCUUUAAGCCCAGUGAUUCCGAAUAACGUUCGCUCGGUUCGUCUUACCGCGGCGGCUGGCAC